CUUUAACAUGGCUCCUCAAAUUUCUUCAAGAAAAUCCUGCUGUAUUGGAACGACUAAGAGAGGAGCAUAGAGAAAUCCAAGCUCAAAAACAAGGCACGUUAGAUCUCACCUGGUCUGAAGUCAACAAUAUGCCUUACACCGCCAAAGUAAUCAGUGAAACACUUCGAAUGGCCACAAUCCUUCCAUGGUUUUCAAGAAAAGCAGCACAAGAUUUUGAGAUUGAGGG
This 226-nucleotide unclassified non-coding RNA is filed under the name Hevea brasiliensis (rubber tree). Lineage: Eukaryota; Viridiplantae; Streptophyta; Magnoliopsida; Malpighiales; Euphorbiaceae. The record is from RNAcentral.